This 254-nucleotide ribosomal RNA is filed under the name uncultured bacterium. Its description in RNAcentral is "partial 16S ribosomal RNA". It matches the Rfam family "Bacterial small subunit ribosomal RNA", at positions 79 to 334 of the family's 1533-position model. The record is from RNAcentral.
CUAAGGCUGAUGGCGACCGGCGCACGGGUGAGUAACACGUAUCCAACCUGCCGAUAACUCGGGGAUAGCCUUUCGAAAGAAAGAUUAAUAUCCGAUAGUAUAUUAAAACCGCAUGGUUUUACUAUUAAAGAAUUUCGGUUAUCGAUGGGGAUGCGUUCCAUUAGUUUGUUGGCGGGGUAACGGCCCACCAAGACUACGAUGGAUAGGGGUUCUGAGAGGAAGGUCCCCCACAUUGGAACUGAGACACGGUCCAA